This 478-nucleotide ribosomal RNA is filed under the name uncultured bacterium. RNAcentral's name for it is "bacterial SSU rRNA". It matches the Rfam family "Bacterial small subunit ribosomal RNA", at positions 44 to 526 of the family's 1533-position model. The record is from RNAcentral.
GAGGCCUAACACAUGCAAGUCGAACGCGAAAGUCCCGCAAGGGAUAAGUAGAGUGGCAAACGGGUGAGUAACACGUGGGUGACCUGCCUUCGAGCGGGGGAUAACGUCCCGAAAGGGACGCUAAUACCGCAUAACAUCCUGCCUUUUAAGAGGUGGAGAUCAAAGCCGGGGACCGCAAGGCCUGGCACUUGAAGAGGGGCCCGCGUCUGAUUAGCUAGUUGGUGGGGUAAUGGCCUACCAAGGCAACGAUCAGUAUCCGGCCUGAGAGGACGAACAGCCACACUGGGAUUGAGAACGGCCCAGACUCCUACGGGGGGCAGCAGUGAGGAAUUUUCCGCAAUGGAGGCAACUCUGACGGAGCAACGCCGCGUGCAGGAUGACGCGUUUCGGCGUGUAAACUGCUUUUCUGGGGGACGAGCAAGGACGGUACCCCAGGAAGAAGCCCCGGCUAACUACGUGCCAGCAGCCGCGGUAAUAC